RNAcentral lists this non-coding RNA (29 nucleotides) under Homo sapiens (human). The record is from RNAcentral. Lineage: Eukaryota; Metazoa; Chordata; Mammalia; Primates; Hominidae.
UAAAGAUGCAAAGCGAAGUGCUCCAGUGA